UUCGGAUCGAAGUCUGCAACCCGACUUCGUGAAGCUGGAUUCGCUAGUAAUCGCGCAUCAGCCACGGCGCGGUGAAUACGUUCCCGGGCCUUGUACACACCGCCCGUCAAGCCAUGGGAGCCGGGGUACCUGAAGUACGUAACCGCAAGGAGCGUCCUAGGGUAAAACUGGUGACUGGGGCUAAGUCGUAACAAGGUAAC
Molecule: ribosomal RNA, 200 nt
Filed under: uncultured bacterium
Lineage: Bacteria
Description: partial 16S ribosomal RNA
Rfam family: Bacterial small subunit ribosomal RNA
Source: RNAcentral